UACGGGGGGGGCAAGCGUUGUUCGGAAUUACUGGGCGUAAAGGGCUCGUAGGCGGCCAACUAAGUCAGACGUGAAAUCCCCAGGCUCAACCUGGGAACUGCGUCUGAUACUGGUUGGCUUGAAUCCGGGAGAGGGAUGCAGAAUUCCAGGUGUAGCGGUGAAAUGCGUAGAUAUCUGGAGGAAUACCGGUGGCGAAGGCGGCAUCCUGGACCGAGAUUGACGCUGAUGAGCGAAAGCUAGGGGAGCAAACGGG
Molecule: ribosomal RNA, 253 nt
Filed under: uncultured bacterium
Lineage: Bacteria
Description: partial 16S ribosomal RNA
Rfam family: Bacterial small subunit ribosomal RNA
Source: RNAcentral